Molecule: non-coding RNA, 1186 nt
Organism: Pelobates cultripes (western spadefoot toad)
Lineage: Eukaryota; Metazoa; Chordata; Amphibia; Anura; Pelobatidae
Source: the annotation of a GenBank genome assembly
UAAUAAAAGGGGGGGACCUAUUCCCCACUCCCCCCACACAUGGGUGGCAGAGAGGGACCCUAAUUAAUUAUGAAAUAGGGGGCUGUACAUGCCAUUGUCCACACCCCUUAAUAAUAGCAUGCUCCCCCCCCCCCCAGUGCCUAGUAGUCCCCAAUUCCCUAGUUAUGUCACAAAAGUAAAGUCCUUACAUACUUCCUUCCACCCUAAUAAUUGUACCAGGGGCCACACACACCUAAACCCUGUAAAAAAUAAAUCAUACUUAUCAUCAGAACUCUUGUUUCUUGCCAUUCUUUUGUUCUUCAGCCAAAAAAGGCCAAAUAAUAACCAACGCCACUAAUUAAAAUUUAAAAAGGCCGAUUACAAAAAACCCCUCAAGGAAAAAACAAACUUGUAAACCAUCUUCCCUCACCGCAGAAUAAGAGCUGAUAGCGGGGAAUGACUGUAAUGGCUGCCCUGCCCCUAGCGUUAAAUAUUUAGCAGACAUCCCCCCACAUGGCAAUCCCUCCUUUAUAUUAAUAUGUGAGUCGUAUCAACCCACAUAGGAUUUUUAUGUAUCAAUUAAUCUUGUAAAACUUUUUGAAAGUGGCAGCUGCCUAGCAAGCGCUGGUUUGCCGCCAUAUAAUUAAUCCUGGAUUCGUCGAUAUGCCCACUGACAACGCUAGCAAGAUUUUUCUUAUAUCCGAGCCCCGAGUUGAAGUCUAUGGGCACUCAAUUAAUUCUGUUCGGAUUUCAAUCAUCGAGCAGAGUUCGGUACGGCUAAAAUCUGGAAUUAAUUCAGGCCAGUUCGGAGUCUGAAUUACAAAAUCUGGACAUUUCUGAAUCCCAUGAGCAGUGUCCGGAUUGUUUAGUAGACACGUGCAAUUCGUUUCAGUCCAAAUUUAAAUUCGGCCGAAUUUCGGCAAUUCUGGCAUUUGGAUGCUUCUGAAAAGUGGCAAAACAGGAGAGGGAGGGAAAAUUAAGGGAAUGAUGAAAGGAAUUUAACCCUUGCCUUAACCCUAGCCCUAAUCCUACUUGUAACUCUACCCCUAACCCUAAAACUAGGGUUAGGGGUAGAGUUACAAGUGGACAGGGGCGGACUGACCGGUCGGGCACUUCGGACACGGUCCGAGGGCCCGGCGGCAGGGCUGGGUUGGGGACUUCAGCAGAAGGUACCACCGGGUGGCCGGCCCGGUGGCACACUGUGAGG